CCUACGGGAGGCAGCAGUAGGGAAUAUUGCUCAAUGGGGGAAACCCUGAAGCAGCAACGCCGCGUGGAGGAUGAAGGUUUUCGGAUUGUAAACUCCUUUUGUUAGAGAAGAUAAUGACGGUAUCUAACGAAUAAGCACCGGCUAACUCCGUGCCAACAGCCGCGGGAAUACGGAGGGUGCAAGCGUUACUCGGAAUCACUGGGCGUAAAGAGCGCGUAGGCGGGAUAGCAAGUCAGAUGUGAAAUCCUAUGGCUUAACCAUAGAACUGCAUUUGAAACUGUUAUUCUAGAGUAUGGGAGAGGUAGGUGGAAUUCUUGGUGUAGGGGUAAAAUCCGUAGAGAUCAAGAGGAAUACUCAUUGCGAAGGCGACCUGCUAGAACAUAACUGACGCUGAUGCGCGAAAGCGUGGGGAGCAAACAGGAUUAGAUACCCCAGUAGUC
This 440-nucleotide ribosomal RNA is filed under the name uncultured bacterium. RNAcentral describes it as "partial 16S ribosomal RNA". It matches the Rfam family "Bacterial small subunit ribosomal RNA", at positions 338 to 795 of the family's 1533-position model. The record is from RNAcentral.